Molecule: non-coding RNA, 2391 nt
Organism: Vicugna pacos (alpaca)
Lineage: Eukaryota; Metazoa; Chordata; Mammalia; Artiodactyla; Camelidae
Source: RefSeq, a predicted model, not a curated record
GCUCAGAAACAUGGAAAUGUAGCCAAAGGUGAGUCUGCUUCUUCAGAACCUUCAGAACCUUCAGAACCCUCUCACCCGCAAGUGCGGGUUAAAGUUUGACUGGGUUCAGCUGUUGCUUUGACCUCACGGACACGCCCACGCGGGCCGUGCCCUGUGGUCUGCGUGGCAGUUCUAAGCGGCGAGUCUGAAAGAUAAUAUUUGGUUUGUCCUCAUCUGUUAUCCUCGGGCUCUUUCUGUGCUUAAAAAGGCGAGAUGUAGCUUGGCAGAGUUCUAUGCUGACCAAGCAGACCCUAGCGUCCUUGGGUCAUUUAACUGAAGGGGACUUUGGCUGCUACAGCCGUACAAGUGACUCUGGACGUUUCCACCUGGAGGGGACCUGGUGGGGGCCAUGCACCUCUGUGUUCCCUGCGUCUCACAUGGCUCCUCUCCAGGAGGGAGAACCCCAGCUUCACCCACAUUCACUUCCUGAGACGUGACUGGUCCUCACGCAGCUCAGAAUGACCCAGAGUUUGAACCUGCGGCUUCUGGGUGCAAAGCGAAUUCUGUAAUAACACAACAAUACGCUCCUGGGAAGGACAGGUGGCUGUGCUUCUCUGCAGGAAGAUGUGGUCACGCCAGUGAUGUACACUCCCCCCGCCGUCCGAGUCUCCCAGACAGACAGAGGGGAAACGUAACAGCGAGACUUUGAAGAGGAGUGCGUGUCUGUCUGUUUGAAGGAUCGCUGCUGGUCACCCCACCGCUGCCUAAAGGGGUCCUGAGAGCAGCGACCCGCGGAAAGAAUGCUGAGAAGCCCACGCACGCUCAGACGCUGGUGAGACGCGUUUAAAGUAAAAACGACACUCCCGUGAGGCGGAACGCGGGUCUGCCCUCCACCAUUGCUCAUCCGGACACGGGAAGCGAACAACCCCCUCCCCCGAGUCCCCCCUCACAAGGACGAAGACAAAGAAAAUUCCUCAACGGCCCAAACCCCGAAAUACCCCGGCCCACGUGCCCGGGCGCGGCCCGGCCUCCGGCUGGCGGGCCUCCGGGGCGCUCCGACGGGCCGCUGGUCCUCGCCCCGUCCCCACGCCGUCCCCCAGGGAUUCGGAGCUGUGCGGCACUCCCUUCCUUCAGCCGCUCCUGGGUGCGUGAAAGACACAGGGCAGGCGGACACAGAGAACCGGCCGGCGGAACCCCCAAAUGGAGCCUUCCUCCAAUUUAAACUUCCUUUUUUGUUUGAGGGAUUCAAGAUUAAUUUGUCAGAAAGUCAUAAAUUCCCAAUCCAGAUUCAGCCAAGGGGCCUGCAGUUUUUUGUUUUUUGUUUUUUUGGCUGCUGUCUUUUCUGACAGAGCUGAGCAUCUCCUCAGGGCAAGAGGCACUGGGCAGGUGCUCCAGGGGACACGUGUGACAUUCCCGAGAAGCCCUCCGUCUUCACAAGGCGCUGCGAGCUGCGAGCGAGGCGGGACGAAGCCCGCGCACCGCGGUCGCAUUCUGAACAGUUCUCGGCGCCCAGGAGGACCGUGGCGGCUGGAACUGCUCUCCUUACGUGGCUGCCUGCUGGCGGCUCCUACCUUCCCCCAGCGUUCUCGGCAGAGAAGGGGCAGUGUUGUGUGCUACAGGGCUGUCCGGGCCGGUCUGGUCGCCACGACGCCACAGGCUGCACCUGGGUCCUCCAGAGCCUCGAGGGCAGCCAAGUGGGGGUGGUGCACAGACUGUCUCACUCUCUUGUAGGGAGAACGUACAACUUAUGCUAUUUACAAAAAUUAGAUUAUGAUUUUAGCAGAAAGCUUUAGUUUUAGCCCACAUUUUACCAACCAGAAAACUCUAGAAACUGGUAUUUUGGAUUUCCAGAUCACAUAUUUAAUUUAGCCACAAUGACAGAAGCCCAAGGCACGUGCAGAGAGCACCAGACUGGGUUGUAGGUCAUUGUCGCUGUCCGCCAUUGUCGAUGGCUGAGGGUAAGCCUACCAGUUCUCUGCCUAAGUUGUUGCAGAUGCUGCCAGCUUAAUGCUUCUGUUUAUUUCUUUGAUUUAACUUUUGGUGACUGUCGCUUCCUUUCUCACCCUCUGCUUUCUUCCUUCCCUACCUCCCUCCUUCACCAAAUGCUACGUACAACCCCAACUCUAGUUUCCAAACACUGAGUGCCCAGAGCUUUCGUUCCAGUGUGUUUCCUGUCCCACAUUACUAAAGGUGGGCAGUGCCCACACAUUGGCUAGAACAGACCCUACUCAUGAUUUGCAAAAUAGCUUCUUAAUGGGCGACCUAAUAUCAAAGCAAAUGGAGCUCUGCCGUCAUCAGAGCUUGGGUAACGGUGGCGGUGAGAGUGAUGGAAAGGCCGGGUGUGCCUGCUGGGGCUGGGCGCCGAGCAGCUGCAGACGCGUCCGCCCCGCCCAGCACCGCCCCAGGCCCCGC